GCCUUGUUGCCAAGAAAAGCUUCUAAACGUUGAUUCUUAAGUGCCUGUACCGCAAUCCGACACAGGUAGAUGGGUAGAAUAUACCAAGGCGAACGGGAGAACCUUCGUUAAGGAACUAGGCAAUUUGGCCUCGUAACUUCGGGAUAAGAGGUGUCUUCUGGCGUGAGUGAAUAAUGAGCGCUGGAAGAUCGCAGUGAAAUGGUUCUAGGGACUGGUUAACAAAACCACAGGUCUCUGCAAAGCCGUAAGGCGAUGUAUAGGGGCUGACACCUGCCCAGUGCCGGAAGGUUAAAGGGAGAGGUUAGUUCCCCUUCGGGGGAGCGAAGCUUUGAACUGAAGCCCCGGUGAACGGCGGCCGUAACUAUAACGGUCCUAAGGUAGCGAAAUUCCUUGUCGGGUAAGUUCCGACCCGCACGAAAGGUGUAACAACUAGAACAGUGUCUCGACGAAGGACCCGGCGAAAUUGAAAUGGCUGUGAAGAUGCGGCCUACCCGCAGUAGGACAAAAAGACCCCGUGGAGCUUUACUGCAACUUGGCAUUGAGUUUGGAUUUCAUUUGUGUAGGAUAGGUGGGAGGCUAUGAAACUAGGGCGCCAGCCUUGGUGGAGCCGCCGGUGAAAUACCACCCUGAUGAACUCUAGACCCUAACCUUUAUCCGUAAUCCGGAUAAGGGACCGUGCCAGGUGGGCAGUUUGACUGGGGCGGUCGCCUCCUAAAGAGUAACGGAGGCGCCCAAAGGUUCCCUCAGGCUGAAUGGAAACCAGCCAGAGAGUGUAAAGGCAUAAGGGAGCUUAACUGCAAGGCCAACGCGCCGAGCAGAGACGAAAGUCGGGCUUAGUGAUCCCACGGUUCCGAGUGGAAGGGCCGUGGCUCAUCGGAUAAAAGCUACCCCGGGGAUAACAGGCUAGUCAGGUCCAAGAGUCCAUAUCGACGACCUGGCUCGGCACCUCGAUGUCGGCUCAUCGCAUCCUGGGGCUGGAUAAGGUCCCAAGGGUCGGGCUGUUCGCCCGUUAAAGCGGUACGCGAGCUGGGUUCAGACCGUCGUGAGACAGGUCGGUCUCUAUCCACUGUGGGCGUAAGAGAUUUGAGAGGAGCUGCUCCUAGUACGAGAGGACCGGAGUGGACAGACCUCUGGUGUGCCAGCUGUCGUGCCAACGGCAUAGCUGGGUAGCUACGUCUGGCAGAGAUAACCGCUGAAAGCAUCUAAGCGGGAAACUUGCCUCAAGAUUAGAUCUCUAUAAUCCCGUAAAGGGAGUAAGAUCGCAGGUAGACUACCUGCUUGAUAGGCAGUAUGUGUAAGCGCAGUAAUGCGUUGAGCUAAACUGUACUAAUGAUCGAGAGCUUCCAA
Molecule: ribosomal RNA, 1347 nt
Filed under: activated sludge metagenome
Description: bacterial LSU rRNA
Rfam family: Bacterial large subunit ribosomal RNA
Source: RNAcentral